AACUUAUGACCUUGUACGCUUGGCCCGUGGUCUUGUGCCACGUUGUGACGAGCGUACGGGUCAUCCUUCUGGAGACUGCUUCUGACCUUUACUGGUUGGUUGCAUUAUCCAGAUCUUUUACUGUGAGAAAAACAAAGUGUUCAAAGCAAGCUAAGAUGCUUGAAUGCGUUAGCAUGGAAUAAUAAGAUAGGACUUCGGUUCUAUUUUGUUGGCUUUCAGGACCAAAGUAAUGAUUAAUAGGGAUAGUUGGGGGUGCUCGUAUUUAACGGUCAGCGGUGAAAUGCAUGGACCCGUUAAAGACGAACUUAUGCGAAAGCAUU
Molecule: ribosomal RNA, 320 nt
Filed under: uncultured Vampyrella
Lineage: Eukaryota; Endomyxa; Vampyrellida
Description: SSU rRNA
Rfam family: Eukaryotic small subunit ribosomal RNA (bases 100-320)
Source: RNAcentral